GGUUCGGGUCGCGUCGGGUAUUGACAAAGUGGAACCACAUCCUUAUACUAGUCACAUCCUUGGGUUUAGCUAUUCUUCCUCUCGGAGACGCGUUAGGAAUUCUUGCUGAUACAACAAAACGUUGCGAGAUUGAUCUACGUAAAGAAUCGACAGCAAAGCUAAAUGCCCCGUCACCUUAUCCUGUGAUUACGUUUGGUCCGUUUGCUUCCGCAACCAAUGUUUUGACAUCGUUGUCACACGCAAUUGGAACCGUUUUCAUGCCACCAAAGUGGUCAUUAGGAUAUCAACAGUGUCGUUGGAGCUAUAACUCAAAUGCGCGUGUCCGUGAGAUUGCCAAAACAUUUAGAGAUAAAGUCAUAAAGGUAUACCGUGUGAUGUCAUAUGGAUAGAUAUGGACUACAUGGACGGCUUUCGAUGUUUCACGUUCGAUAAGGUUCUAAUUUUGGUGGUGUCGGAGCCCCUGUUGACCUUUCUGCCGUUCUCGAGUACUUCGCUGUUGAGUUAUUGGAGUUGGCUGGGAAUGCAGCAAGGGACAACGAGAAGUCGAGAGGCACAUACAGCAAGCAAUAGAAGGAUGAGCUAGCACUGCUUGUUGAGGAGCCCAGCUCAUUAUCUUCCUACGAGUUUUCUUACGCAGAAAUCUGACCCGGGUGGGGUUCCGGCGAGUCGAACUUGACACGGCGAUGGCAAUCGAUUCCGGCAAUGGAAGAUUUGGGGUUUUAGGGUUCUGUUGUUUUUGUCAUUCCUGGAGGACUUUAUAUCUUAUUUUUGUUUGAUUAUGAUUAUUCAUGUCUUAGAUGUAGCUUAAGAAGUCAAUGUCCAGAAGUUACGUUGAUGUUCUGUAUUUAUUGGGUGCAGGAAUAUUGUAGGUUAUGUGGUGGAUUGGAUCCGAAAACUGGGACAAAAUGCCAUAGUCGCCGCCUCCAGCAUGACGGCUAGGGUUCUGAUGAGUUGAAUCUGGUGAAGCAUAUCCGCAAGUCAUAUGCCAUAUAUUUUCGCAUAGCCAUUGCUUCUGCAUUUUCUCCACAUAAUCCAUCUGGAGGGACGAUACGGGAUCCCAAGAAUAGGCCCGUGUUGUGCUGGUACAUGAUAUGGGUCCAAACUAGGAGCUUAUAAGUAAUGCCACUGUUGAUGUGUGUAUUUUAAGUCUACCUUGCUAAAUCGUGUGAGAUCGGGCUGCGAGACCAGGAACAAUGUGCUUCUUGCUGUUCCGGCACUUCUCUAUGCUAUUAAUAAGUACUUGAAGUUCAUUAUGCAGCAACCGUAAAGAUGCUGAGCAAUCUAGAGAAAUCCAUAAUUUCUGCUAAUUUCUACCGAGGAGUUCGUGAUUCGCAGCUGAUCGGAUUAUCCGGUUACACAAAAGAGGGCCUUCCGGUUCAUUGUCAGCCUUAACAAGUAUCUCGAAGCUCGAAAUCAUAAGCUGUCGGUUGGCGAGCAGGAGUUGCAGCAGAAGCAAGAACCAUAGUAGAAGUCGAAGCCGUAGCAGAAGCCUGCAAACGCAGCAGAAGUGGGAAAACUACCAGCAACUCAAGCAAACCCUGAUGUUUUCUUUGCAUUUUAGGGGGGACAUGCGUGCUUCUCUCCCAGGGCAUACAAAACACAGGUUAUUGGCGGCAGCCC
Helianthus annuus (common sunflower) is the source of this 1620-nucleotide long non-coding RNA. RefSeq lists it as uncharacterized. The transcript is spliced from 13 exons. The record is from RefSeq and is a predicted model, not a curated record. Lineage: Eukaryota; Viridiplantae; Streptophyta; Magnoliopsida; Asterales; Asteraceae.